Molecule: ribosomal RNA, 506 nt
Filed under: uncultured bacterium
Lineage: Bacteria
Description: partial 16S ribosomal RNA
Rfam family: Bacterial small subunit ribosomal RNA
Source: RNAcentral
GAUGAACGCUAGCGGCAGGCCUAACACAAGCAAGUCGAGGGGCAGCACAUAAAGUGGUUUACUACUUUUGGUGGCGACCGGCGGACGGGUGCGUAACGCGUAUGCAACCUGCCUCCAACAGGGGGAUAACGGAGAGAAACUUCCACUAAUACCCCAUAAUAUCAGAAUCGGCAUCGGUUUUGGUUGAAAACUCCGGUGGUUGGAGAUGGGCAUGCGUUGUAUUAGAUAGUUGGUGAGGUAACGGCUCACCAAGUCAACGAUACAUAGGGGGACUGAGAGGUUAGCCCCCCACACUGGUACUGAGACACGGGCCAGACUCCUACGGGAGGCAGCAGUGAGGAAUAUUGGUCAAUGGGGGCAACCCUGAACCAGCCAUGCCGCGUGCAGGAAGACGGCUCUAUGAGUUGUAAACUGCUUUUACAAGGGGAUAAAUCGGUGUACGUGUACACCGUUGAAGGUACCUUGGGAAUAAGGAUCGGCUAACUCCGUGCCAGCCGCCGCAGUAA